RNA transcript from Betta splendens (Siamese fighting fish), 2957 nucleotides. It is a transcript of the gene named YTH N6-methyladenosine RNA binding protein C1, with no coding region annotated. Lineage: Eukaryota; Metazoa; Chordata; Actinopteri; Anabantiformes; Osphronemidae. The transcript is spliced from 13 exons. The record is from RefSeq and is a predicted model, not a curated record.
AGUAGUGGCCUGAUUCCUCAGCGUCAUCAGAAAAAGAAGAAACCAGUUCCCGCAGCCACAGACGGUCUCCGCCAUUUGCAACAGCUCUCGGUCUGAGUUUUAAUAUCUCUACCACAGGUACCCGCCGUUUACCUGGAGCGUUACCCGAGCGUGAGGCAGGAGCACGUCAUAGCGGCGGGAUGGCGACAGACCGGCGCGAGGACAAAGAUGGAGAACUGAACGUUUUAGAGGAUCUUCUGACUGAGGCCCCGGAUCAGGACGAUGAACUGUACAACCCUGAGACAGAGAGAGACAUCAGUGACAAGAAAGGUACAAAGAGGAAAAGUGAACGAUGUGACAGUCAGGACCUGAAAAGGCUGCGUCCCAGUUCAGGUCAUGCCUCCUCAAGGUCCACAAGUAAAAGAGCUUCAGGCCCCCUACCUACUUCCUCCAAGAAGGGGGGGUCCAGUCCACGCGGCCGACAUGCCCUCAGCUACCGACAUGAAUACUAUGAGGAGCGAAAGGUACGCCGAGGAGCCCGAGAGGUGACGAGAAGCCGUGGGGCAGAUGAUGCAAGACGUAGAGACUCCCACAGGGGCCUAGAGGGACUGACUCAGAAGCUGCGUCGUGAUGAGCGACGGACAAGCCCUUCCCCCCACGAGGAAGACAACCCAUCCGAAGAGGAGGAAGAGGAGGUGGUGGAGUACGGCUCAGAGAGAGGUUCGGGGAGCUCAUCCCCUGCUGCCUCCCAUGUAGAGGAUGAUGAUGAGGAGGACCAGGAGGAAGAGGAAGAGGAGGGUAUGGAGGAAGAAGAGGAGGAGGAGGAGGAGGAAGGAGAGAAGGAAGAUGAUGAGGAUGAUGAGGAAGAGGUAGAUUAUGAGCGCCGUGGAGUUGGUGAGGGGAAUGAAUACGACACUCGCAGUGAGGCCGGCGAUUCUCGGUCCUCCGCCUCCAUCAGUUUCUCUGACGUUGAGUCUGUGCAUUCGGGAUCCGGCUCUGAUGCCUCAGAUUCAGAGAAGAAACGGGAGAAGUUGUCAUCAUCUGUUCGGGCCGUUCGUAAAGGAACUGACAAUCCCACCAGUAAGCUGCGUUACAUCCUACGAGAUGCUCGGUUUUUCCUCAUCAAGAGCAACAACCAUGAGAAUGUGUCCCUGGCUAAAGCUAAGGGUGUGUGGUCAACACUGCCGGUCAAUGAGAAGAAGCUAAACGCUGCUUUCCGCUCAGCACGGAGCGUCAUGCUCGUCUUCUCCGUCAGGGAGAGUGGCAAAUUUCAGGGUUUUGCCCGUUUGGCGUCAGAGUCUCAUCACGGUGGAUCUCCUAUCCAUUGGGUUCUUCCUGCUGGCAUGAACGCAAAGAUGCUGGGUGGUGUCUUUAAAAUUGACUGGCUCUGCAGGAGGGACCUGCCCUUCACGAAGACAGCUCACUUGUCUAACCCCUGGAAUGAACAUAAACCUGUCAAAAUUGGACGUGAUGGCCAGGAGAUCCAGCCAGAUGUCGGUGCUCAGCUCUGUGCCCUGUUCCCACUGGAUGAGAACGUGGACGUCCACCUGGUGGUUCGUCGAGUUCGUCACAAACGUCGGACGCCGUCUGAACCACGGCCCCGAGGCCGACCUCCGCUGCGCGAGCCGGGAAGGUUAGCCAAUCACCAAGCUCCUCCUCCUGCUUCCUGUUCUUCUUCUUCUCCUGCUGAGACCACCGCAACACCUGCUGCCGGACAACAGAGAUGGCCACUGCUUUUGGCCAGCGGCAAGCUGCCCCCGAGCUGGCAUUGCUGGUUCUUUGGUGGUUGUUGUGGGUUUUCUCCUGGAGUAAUGCCUCACUCUGCAUUUGUAGUCAGGCAGGAAAUUCAAGUCCUCAAGAGUCAAUGGUUGAGGGGGUUCACGUAUUUAUUUAAUUUUAAGUUGUUAUUUUAUCCUUUUUUAAGCAUCAAGGUGCCCUUUAGAAUAUAUAUUAUUUCAAGUUUUGGUUGAUUUAGUUUUUGCUGAUCUUGUAGCUAAAAGACUGAAUUUUACCAAUUAUGUUGUUUCUAAAUUUCUUCUUUGAAGCUCUUUUCCUUUGCAGGAGUUUCAUACUUCGGAAGUUAAAAAUCUGAAUGUUGGCUUUUAGCUGGACUGUGGCCGAGCCUUUGGUAAUAAAAGCAUGAAGGACGAGCGUCACUGGCUGGACUGACGGAGCAGGGGGUGGGUGAGGGGUGCGAGUGAGGUAGAACUCUAACAGAACAGGGGGACUGUCCAGUGGACUGUUUCUUGUCUGGGAAGGUGGUACAGGUUGGUUGGGCAGGUGCUGGGACCUCUGGACUAUACCCAAUGAGGGAGUGUGAUGCCAUAAGGGGCUGUGGCUUCCUUGCUGGUUCAGAAAAGGUAAAUUUCAUGAAAAGGAAAAGAUGGACUAUUUUAAAACACCCUUGGACUGAAAAAGUGAGGCCUCCUACCCCCAUUAAAGGACAGCUUUAACCCCCUUCUCCCCCAGUGAACACACUGAAUCAGGACUUGAUUUGUUGGUGUGUCUCUGAAGACUGAGUUUCAAAGUUUGUGAAUGGAGGAGUUGAGGAGGAGGAAACAAAAAAUCAGAUCCAGAAACGACGGAGCCACAGACCACAAAGUUGGGUUGUUUCAGGACUGUUGCUGGUCUCAAGUGGGUGGGGCAGAGAUCAGAGGGUUGGGCUUUAUGUAUCGAUUGACAGGACUGCACCAUCAUCACCAUCAUCAUCUUCACCCCCCUACCCUUUCAAAAUAAGAGGGUUUGUUUAAAAAAGCUUUAAACAUGGACUGAUGAAGAAACUGAAUUAUUAAUAGUGUUGUUGACACAAACAGCUCCCUCACACAUACUACAGAAGCGGCGUCGACCUGAAGAAUACGACCUCCAUGGCAGAAAGCGGCCGCGUGCUGACGGUCCACCUGACUUCAACCAACGAGCAGGAUUUAUCCAGGACCUACGUAACCAGCCAGUCGACAGACGGUUCUCCAGUGUCAGACGAG